GAUGAACGCUGGCGGCGUGCCUAAUACAUGCAAGUCGAGCGAACAGACGAGGAGCUUGCUCCUCUGACGUUAGCGGCGGACGGGUGAGUAACACGUGGAUAACCUACCUAUAAGACUGGGAUAACUUCGGGAAACCGGAGCUAAUACCGGAUAAUAUAUUGAACCGCAUGGUUCAAUAGUGAAAGACGGUUUUGCUGUCACUUAUAGAUGGAUCCGCGCCGCAUUAGCUAGUUGGUAAGGUAACGGCUUACCAAGGCAACGAUGCGUAGCCGACCUGAGAGGGUGAUCGGCCACACUGGAACUGAGACACGGUCCAGACUCCUACGGGAGGCAGCAGUAGGGAAUCUUCCACAAUGGGCGAAAGCCUGACGGAGCAACGCCGCGUGAGUGAUGAAGGUCUUCGGAUCGUAAAGCUCUGUUAUUAGGGAAGAACAAAUGUGUAAGUAACUAUGCACGUCUUGACGGUACCUAAACAGAAAGCCACGGCUAACUACGUG
RNAcentral lists this ribosomal RNA (497 nucleotides) under uncultured bacterium. RNAcentral describes it as "partial 16S ribosomal RNA". It matches the Rfam family "Bacterial small subunit ribosomal RNA", at positions 28 to 507 of the family's 1533-position model. The record is from RNAcentral.